Molecule: ribosomal RNA, 369 nt
Filed under: uncultured bacterium
Lineage: Bacteria
Description: bacterial SSU rRNA
Rfam family: Bacterial small subunit ribosomal RNA
Source: RNAcentral
GUAGGGUGCAAGCGUUAAUCGGAAUUACUGGGCGUAAAGCGUGCGCAGGCGGUUAUGCAAGACAGAUGUGAAAUCCCCGGGCUCAACCUGGGAACUGCAUUUGUGACUGUAUAGCUAGAGUACGGUAGAGGGGGAUGGAAUUCCGCGUGUAGCAGUGAAAUGCGUAGAUAUGCGGAGGAACACCGAUGGCGAAGGCAAUCCCCUGGACCUGUACUGACGCUCAUGCACGAAAGCGUGGGGAGCAAACAGGAUUAGAUACCCUGGUAGUCCACGCCCUAAACGAUGUCAACUGGUUGUUGGACGGCUUGCUGUUCAGUAACGAAGCUAACGCGUGAAGUUGACCGCCUGGGGAGUACGGCCGCAAGGUUG